AGGACUGAGAAGGCUUUGCAGUCUGCCGCCUCAGCGGGUCCUGWCUGAAAACCGCAACCGGCUGCCUCUUGCCAAAGGUGCGGGCGAGGAACGGCCACCAGGCAGGGAAGGUUGAGCCCUGGGGUUGCUUCCUACCCUGGGCUGUUGGGCCGCUUUCUCUGUAAACAGCUUGCUCCCAAGGGCCCUGGAGUUGCAGUGGAAGCUGAGAGUUACUGCCCAUUCCUCCAGCCAGAGCGCUGAAGGCUUCUUUAACUUGACUGGAGUGAAAGGAAGGUUCCCUACUAAUCAUCUGUUUAAAAAAAAGAGUUUUCACAUCAUGCAAAGUUCUCCCAUGCACUGGUAUUUACUUUGCACACAGGACACCUAGAUCUUCAUGGAAAAUAAUUGUUAUUGUUCUCCUGUAYGUGCAGGGUGAGACUGUGGGUUAUUUCCUACAUCUUUUGUGACACGAACCUGUGUUUGUUAGAGUGAAAGCUGAUUAGAUGCUGCUUUGGUGCAUCAAGGGGGAUGCUCUGGAGCAAAGCAUGCCAUGUGUUUGAUUUGUAGAUAAACUGUCUCCUUGGAGUGGUUAUUGAGAGCAUGUUUCUGUGUGUCUGUCCUUGUUCUGGAGCGCUACAUUCUUUGUAUCUAUGUGGGUAUUUCAACUCCAAUCAGAAUAAUACUUUAUGAAUGUACAUGUGUUUCAAUGUCAGUUUUUAAAAUGAUGUUACAAGUGAAAAACCUGAUGUAUUUAAAAGUAUUGCAAUCACACUGAUAUUGCGGUAGCAUAUAGAAGUGGUCUAGGUGAAGACUUUUCUUUGCCGUGCCAUACAAACAUCACAAAAGGCAAUCCCCAGCCAAGAGCUCGGUUGCAGAGGGCAAAUAGAGAGCAAAGAACAAAAUAAUAGGGUAAGUGCCAUUGUACCCAGCCUUUGCAAUCAUAGUUCAGGAUCAGCAUUCACARUUCAACACCUGCUCAGCCUGUCUCAGAAGCAAAAGCCUUGAUUUGUUAAGGUCUUGAAGACACCUGAGGCCUCCAUAAAACAGUAAGGCUAAAUAAUUAGGAGCUUCAGCUCUGCAGUUAAGUGAACRCAACAGCAUUCAAAUGUCAUCACACAUGUCAACUCCUUUCUCUCCUCCAUACUAAAUAAUAAUCUACUAGCUGGGUUUGAGGAAAAUGACAAUGUAAUUUGAAAUUGUGUGCAGUGUGUGUAG
RNAcentral lists this long non-coding RNA (1194 nucleotides) under Apteryx rowi (Okarito brown kiwi). RNAcentral describes it as "lncRNA (ENSARWG00000014628.1)". Lineage: Eukaryota; Metazoa; Chordata; Aves; Apterygiformes; Apterygidae. The record is from RNAcentral.